GUCGAGCGAACAGACGAGGAGCUUGCUCCUCUGACGUUAGCGGCGGACGGGUGAGUAACACGUGGAUAACCUACCUAUAAGACUGGGAUAACUUCGGGAAACCGGAGCUAAUACCGGAUAAUAUAUUGAACCGCAUGGUUCAAUAGUGAAAGACGGUUUUGCUGUCACUUAUAGAUGGAUCCGCGCCGCAUUAGCUAGUUGGUAAGGUAACGGCUUACCAAGGCAACGAUGCGUAGCCGACCUGAGAGGGUGAUCGGCCACACUGGAACUGAGACACGGUCCAGACUCCUACGGGAGGCAGCAGUAGGGAAUCUUCCGCAAUGGGCGAAAGCCUGACGGAGCAACGCCGCGUGAGUGAUGAAGGUCUUCGGAUCGUAAAACUCUGUUAUUAGGGAAGAACAAAUGUGUAAGUAACUAUGCACGUCUUGACGGUACCUAAUCAGAAAGCCACGGCUAACUACGUGCCAGCAGCCGCGGUAAUACGUAGGUGGCAAGCGUUAUCCGGAAUUAUUGGGCGUAAAGCGCGCGUAGGCGGUUUUUUAAGUCUGAUGUGAAAGCCCACGGCUCAACCGUGGAGGGUCAUUGGAAACUGAAAAACUUGAGUGCAGAAGAGGAAAGUGGAAUUCCAUGUGUAGCGGUGAAAUGCGCAGAGAUAUGGAGGAACACCAGUGGCGAAGGCGACUUUCUGGUCUGUAACU
This 698-nucleotide ribosomal RNA is filed under the name uncultured Staphylococcus sp. RNAcentral's name for it is "bacterial SSU rRNA". It matches the Rfam family "Bacterial small subunit ribosomal RNA", at positions 61 to 741 of the family's 1533-position model. Lineage: Bacteria; Bacillati; Bacillota; Bacilli; Caryophanales; Staphylococcaceae. The record is from RNAcentral.